CUCAUCCUUUCCCUAGUGUUUCCUGAAAUGUUUAACAGCAUCCUCUUUGCCUUUUUCCCAGAGACUGAGUUCCUCUUUGUGGUCAAGGUUCCUCUUCCCUCCUCCUUAGUCACUGAGAAACAAGGACCAUGUUAAUACAUCUUUGCAGGGAAAACAGAUGAUCCUGGUGGCCAAAAUACACCAUUUCUUCUGGUUUGAUCCUUUGCAGGUGCUCUGUGUGCACCCUCACUGCAUCCAGCGGGGUGACCAUGCUCCACAUCUGCCAGGGUCACUUUUCCCUCCAAAGGAAAGGCCUCUCGGGAGCAGCAGAUAGAAAACCAGCCCUGGGAACUCUGCAUUUUUUGGAGGAAACCUGCACAAUCUGCUUUUCAAGCCUGCUGUUCCAGAAGAGCAACUGAACACGUGCU
RNAcentral lists this long non-coding RNA (407 nucleotides) under Junco hyemalis (dark-eyed junco). RNAcentral's name for it is "lncRNA (ENSJHYG00000000380.1)". The record is from RNAcentral. Lineage: Eukaryota; Metazoa; Chordata; Aves; Passeriformes; Passerellidae.